UGAUGAUUAAUUUCUGGGAAACAUCCUCAGCAGAAUUAUUUGAAGGUGUUGCACUGGAGAGUAAAGGCAAAGAGGCAGUGGCUUGUGGGAAAGAGGGCAGCAGAGUAAUGCCCACCUGUGGCUCCAGAUUUUCCCACCCUCCCAUGGGACAGGGAAGGGAACUGGCUGUAGUGGAGCCAGUCCAGGGGCCGGUGACCUUCGAGGAGGUGGCUGUGUAUUUCACCAGGG
Molecule: long non-coding RNA, 228 nt
Organism: Mauremys mutica (yellowpond turtle)
Lineage: Eukaryota; Metazoa; Chordata; Testudines; Geoemydidae
Exons: 3
Source: RefSeq, a predicted model, not a curated record